AAGUCGUAACAAGGUUUGCCUACACUAAGAUCCUUCCCUAGGGGGAAACUUACUGAAGCCUUUGCAACCCCGUAAGGGGUGGAUACGCGACUCUAUAUAAGGUGCCCGUAUGCAAGUCAGACGCUCGUCUGGCAACAUAACCGAAUUGUCGGGGGAAGCCCUAAAGCCCACAACACCAACCUAGACGGGAAACCGUGUAGGGGCCGAUACUAAUAACAUCGGAGGUAAUAGCGUGUGGGAUGAACAAUGGGUGAUCCGCAGCGAAGGCCCUAAGUGCUUCGGCAUAUGGGACACGUCCACAGACUAAGUGGUUAUGGGUAGCUCACCGGUUCGGUGGCUGCUUCAGAUAUAGUCGGGUCCGCAACGAAACUUGCGGGGUAUUAUAACCGUUCCGUAGGUGAACCUGCGGAAGGAUCAUUAAGGAGUACUUGCGGGAAAUCGAAAGAUAGUACCGCUCUCCCACCCGUGACUAUAUACUAUGUUGCUUUCCGGGCUUCAUCGCCCGGAGAGGACCAAACUCUUGAAUUUAUUACUGUCUGAGUACUAUAUAAUAGUUAAAA
RNAcentral lists this unclassified non-coding RNA (560 nucleotides) under plant metagenome. Its description in RNAcentral is "partial contains small subunit ribosomal RNA and internal transcribed spacer 1". The stretch from base 83 to 376 matches the Rfam family "Group I catalytic intron". Rfam says of the family: Group I catalytic introns are large self-splicing ribozymes. They catalyse their own excision from mRNA, tRNA and rRNA precursors in a wide range of organisms. The core secondary structure consists of 9 paired regions (P1-P9). The record is from RNAcentral.